AAAAAAUGGAGGAGAGAUCCCAUAUAACCAUAAUGGGGCUAUUGUUGAAGCACAACCUCUGGUCUAUGAGUGUGGUCCUUCUUGCAAGUGUCCUCCUUCUUGCUACAAUAGAGUCAGCCAGAAUGGUAUCAAGUUCCAGCUUGAAAUAUUCAAAACUGAAUCAAGAGGAUGGGGUGUGAGAUCUUUAAAUUCAAUCCCUUCAGGAAGUUUUAUCUGUGAGUAUGCAGGAGAGCUUCUUGAAGAGAAGGAAGCUGAACAAAGAAUUGGCAAUGAUGAUUAUUUAUUUGAUAUUGGAAAUAACUGCAGUGACAGUUCUCUCUGGGAUGGACUUUCAAACCUCCUAACUGAGACAAAAUUAAGUUCUUGUGAAGUUAUGGAGGAGAGUUGCUUCACCAUUGAUGCAGCAAAGUACGGCAAUGUGGGGAGAUUCAUCAAUCAUAGUUGUUCCCCUAAUCUCUAUGCGCAAAAUGUUCUCUAUGAUCAUGAGGACAAGAGAAUUCCUCACAUAAUGCUGUUUGCUGCUGAGAAUAUUCCUCCCUUGCAAGAGCUAACAUACCAUUACAAUUAUACAAUAGAUCAGGUUCAUGAUUCUGAUGGCAAUAUAAAGAAGAAGAGUUGCUACUGUGGUUCUUCAGAGUGCACUGGGAGGAUGUAUUGACGCUGUCUAGCAAAAGAGUUGGAUUUAGAAGCAGCUGUGUUUUACUUGUCAAAGGAUUCUCAUGUUUGCGACCAACGAAUCGUAACCCCAGUCAGUUGUCAUAUGUUGUGGUCAAUUAAAUUAGUGGCUCGGAAGAUCAUUUGAUAAUGUAAUCUUAGUCUUUGCAAAUUCCAAGUGUUGUUUGUUGUGAGUUCUAGGUUUGUAUAUGCACUGGUAAUUUUUAAUUAUCAUCUUUGCAACGCAUAUAAUAGAAAACAGAAGCUCUAGCGUUUUGCCU
This 935-nucleotide unclassified non-coding RNA is filed under the name Hevea brasiliensis (rubber tree). Lineage: Eukaryota; Viridiplantae; Streptophyta; Magnoliopsida; Malpighiales; Euphorbiaceae. The record is from RNAcentral.